Molecule: ribosomal RNA, 253 nt
Filed under: uncultured bacterium
Lineage: Bacteria
Description: partial 16S ribosomal RNA
Rfam family: Bacterial small subunit ribosomal RNA
Source: RNAcentral
UACGUAGGGUGCGGGCGUUAAUCGGAAUUACUGGGCGUAAAGCGUGCGCAGGCGGUUUUGUAAGCCGGAUGUGAAAUCCCCGGGCUUAACCUGGGAAUGGCAUUCGGGACUGCAAGGCUGGAGUGCGGCAGAGGAGACUGGAAUUCCUGGUGUAGCAGUGAAAUGCGUAGAUAUCAGGAGGAACACCGAUGGCGAAGGCAGGUCUCUGGGCUGACACUGACGCUCAUGCACGAAAGCGUGGGGAGCAAACAGG